This 425-nucleotide ribosomal RNA is filed under the name uncultured bacterium. RNAcentral's name for it is "bacterial SSU rRNA". It matches the Rfam family "Bacterial small subunit ribosomal RNA", at positions 359 to 776 of the family's 1533-position model. The record is from RNAcentral.
GAAUAUUGGACAAUGGGCGAAAGCCUGACGCAGCCAUGCCGCGUGUGUGAAGAAGGCCCUAGGGUUGUAAAGCACUUUCAGUGGGGAGGAAAGGUUACUGGUUAAUACCCAGUAACUGUGACGUUACCCGCAGAAGAAGCACCGGCCAACUCCGUGCCAGACGCCGCGGUAAUACGGAGGGUGCGAGCGUUAAUCGGGAUGACUGGGCGUAAAGCGCGCGUAGGUGGUUUGUUAAGUUGGAUGUGAAAGCCCAGGGCUCAACCUUGGAAUUGCAUCCAAAACUGGCAGGCUAGAGUACAGUAGAGGGGGGUAGAAUUUCCGGUGUAGCGGUGAAAUGCGUAGAGAUCGGAAGGAAUACCAGUGGCGAAGGCGGCCCCCUGGACUGAUACUGACACUGAAGUGCGAAAGCGUGGGUAGCGAACAGG